CCUACGGGAGGCAGCAGUGAGGAAUAUUGGUCAAUGGACGAGAGUCUGAACCAGCCAAGUAGCGUGAAGGAUGACUGCCCUAUGGGUUGUAAACUUCUUUUAUCUGGGAAUAAAAUGUUCCACGUGUGGGAUUUUGUAUGUACCAUAUGAAUAAGGAUCGGCUAACUCCGUGCCAGCAGCCGCGGUAAUACGGAGGAUCCGAGCGUUAUCCGGAUUUAUUGGGUUUAAAGGGAGCGUAGGUUGAUUGUUAAGUCAGUUGUGAAAGUUUGCGGCUCAACCGUAAAAUUGCAGUUGAAACUGGCAGUCUGGAGUACAGUAGAGGUGGGCGGAAUUCGUGGUGUAGCGGUGAAAUGCUUAGAUAUCACGAAGAACUCCGAUUGCGAAGGCAGCUCACUGGACUGCAACUGACACUGAGGCUCGAAAGUGUGGGUAUCAAACAGGAUUAGAUACCCCAGUAGUC
This 460-nucleotide ribosomal RNA is filed under the name uncultured bacterium. RNAcentral's name for it is "partial 16S ribosomal RNA". It matches the Rfam family "Bacterial small subunit ribosomal RNA", at positions 338 to 795 of the family's 1533-position model. The record is from RNAcentral.